CCUCACACCCCCAGCCUCACACACCUGUCACCCUGCUGUCCACAAAAAUCGGAUUUGUUACCUGGGGUGCAACAAGCCAAUAAUUACACAUGUGAGACAUUCAUUUAUUUCAGAGUUGCAAAGCUUUGAUGCUCAGUGGUAUUCCACAAAUCAAACACACUAUCAACACUUUUUACUAUUUAUACAUUUUAGCAAACAAGGGAAUAGGUGUUACAAGCUAAAAGUUACCUCGUUCUCUUAUUAAUUAGUAGUCUAUCAGUUAAUGAGUCUCUCUUGCUAAUUAGUUUGCAUGCUCAGUCUUUCUCUUUUUUCUGGGGUCGGUGGUCCAUGAGUUGGUGGUGAGGGAUCUCCCCCUGCUGGAAUUGCUUUACCCAGUCGGAGCUGAUGUAGCACAGUUGCCGAGUUUGGAUUAUUAAUUUAUUCCUUAUCGUGGGAGUUCUGCCAGAUGUCCUUGUGUCCCGUAAAUUCUGCAUUCUUUGCGUCCACUAUCAGCAGUACAUCCUUCUUCCCAAGCUCUGUUAACCUCCCCCUCGGUCUGAGGUCAUUGAAACACGUUGAGCCCUAAGCCUUAACAAGGCAAUUCUAGCGACAAUUAAUUUGUCCUUCUAACACCUGGAGAUCCCUUAGAGCUCGUUGGCUGCUCCCCGUUUCACGGAUCUCUCUCUGAAAGUAUACUACGAUCACACGCCACGGAACAUCCCGUCUCAAGGCAAUGUUUACACAUUCCACAUUUGGUAAGAGCUCCCCCCCCAUUCCCACACGCCGCUUUCCCGCGCGCGGGCGCAGUCGCGAGGCGCUCCCACCGCCCGCCCUCGCGCCGGUUCCCGGCAGGCCCCGCGGCGGCAGCGCCGGGCCGCAGCUCCGUCCCGUCCCGCCGGGCGCUUCCCCCGCCAUGCGCCACAGCCUCACGCAGCUGCUGGCGGCCUCGGCCGGCGGGGCCAGCCCCUCGGGCGCCGUCUGGCCGCUGGCCGCAGCGGGGCAGGCCCCGAGAGGGCGGGAUGGCGGCGGGGAAGGGGACCCGGGCCCCGCGCGGCCCAAAGCGCAGCCGCCGCCGCGGCGGGAGCCGCCGGGCGCCUCGGAGCCGCGGCGGCAGGAGAAGGAGGCCGAGGCGCCCGGCGGCCUGCUGGAGGUGUGGGAGCAAGAGGACUGGUUCCCGGGGCUGGAGCUGGGAGACCUGCUGGAGGCCGCCCGGCCGGACUGGGACCUGGACGCGGAGCUGAGCGACUGCUUCUGUGGGGACCCCGAACCGCCGCCCGCGCCGGGCCGGGGCCCGCGGCCGGCGGCGCCCGGGCGGAGGAGCGGCGGGGCCGGCAGUCGGCUGAAGGCGGCGGCGGCGGCUCGGCUGAACCGGCUGAAGAAGAAGCAGUAUGUGCUGGGGCUGGAGAGCCGCCUGCAGGGCCUGGCUGCCGAGAACCGGCAGCUGCGGGACCGCAACCGCGGCCUGAGCCGCCGCCUGCGAGAGCUGGAGCGGGAGAGCAGCUACCUGCGGGCUGUGCUGGCCAACCAGAGCGCGCUGGGGCAGCUCCUGAGCCGCCUGGCCGGGACCCGCGCCGGCGGGCUGCAGCUCGGCACCAGCCUCUUCAGGGACACGGGCGGCCCCCGCCGCCAGCACCAGCACCUCCAGCCCGCCGGCGAGAGCAGCGACCACGACUACGCCCUGCCCAGCUCCCGGCCCCGUGGUCUGGAGGAGCCGGCGGCGGUGACUGGGACGGAGGAGGAGUGGGCGGCCCCCGGCGGGAUCUGCCUGCACGUGGACCGGGAUCAGGUGUCGGUGGAGUUCUGCUCCAUCUGUGCUCGGCGGGCGGCGGCCUCCUUCAAAAUUUUCUCUUUUAGGUGGUUGCCCUGCCAGGCUCCGUUGUGUAGGGGUUAAAGAACAGUCGUUUCCCACCUCGCAACCUGUGGAUUCAGCUGUGUUGGGGCAGAAGAGACGGGACCAGCUGCUGGCCACAUUUCCUGCUUUAUUUUAAAAGGUAAGUGGUUCUGUUGGUUAAAGUCUGAUGCCUUCCGGAGAUAUGACAAUUCACUGUCAUGUGAAAUACGUGGUCCAUGGGAAUCUCCAGUCGGGGUGAUUAAGGUAAGGCCAAGCUGUCUGGGUGCAGAACAGGAGGGAACACCACGUGUGACACAGCAAUACUUUGAAUCAAGGAAAGCUAAAUGAUCUCUACUAACAACAGUUUGUAUUGCUGCUUCCCCUGUACAAAUCAGGCUGCUGCUCCUGUGUAUAGAUAAAUAAUGUGUCAUGUUCCUGCUGCAAUGACCCAUUUUUAAGGAAAAAGUAGAUAAAGAUGAUGGAACUCCUUCAAUAUAUUUUCAUCAGCAUUACAGCAUAAAUUUUAACCCCUUUCAAUUAAAGGUCUCAAUGCUGAAUUCUUAAUUCUCGUUAAUAAAUAUUUUCAUGUGCAUGGAAUAAAUAUGUCCAUGUGCAGCUCAGGGGAUGCUAGAAUUUUAUUGAAGUGACUGUUGACCAGUAGCUGUAGAGCUUUUACAGUUAUAGAACCAUUUAGGUUUGGAACAGGCCCCCAGGAUCACUGAGUCCAGCCUUUCACCCAUCACCAGCUCUUCAACCAGACCAUGGCACCAAGUGCCACUUCCAGUGGUUUCUUGAACACCUCCAGGGAUGGGACUCCUGUCACCCUGGGCAGUCCAUUCCAGUGCUUAAUAAGCCCUUCUGCAAUGAAAUGCCUCCAACCUGAAACUCUCCUAGCACCGUUUGAGGCUGUUUCUUCCUGUCCUUCACUUGUCUGGGAGAAGCCAGCCCCUAUUCACCUAUGGCGAAUAUUGCUUCUGUAGAAGAAUUCCUGAUUUAGCUCUGACUGCAGAGUACACCUCAUGCAGUAGGAGAACUGCAAUUUAUAUUGCUCUAAAACAUACAGCCACCCAUGUGAAGACACACCUGACUCAUGAAGGCAUUACUCUGGACCACUGAUCUGAGAUGUAGCCGAGAUAUCCCAGUAAUGGCACCAGCCCUCAAAAGCCUCUCAGCACAGCCCCAUCCUUCAGGAAAAGACUUCAAGGCAAAACGGUUACAAGGCCAAAGGCUGGCUUUUUUAUAUGCUAGGAAGCCUGGCAGGACUAUGGUUGUUGACUGCUUUGUGAUAGAAGUGUUCUCUACAGUGUGACCCAUCUAAUGGUGUAAAAGGAGUAAUCUUGUGAUAGAAGUUUUGUGCUAGCAGAAUGGAGAAAAAUACUCAGAUUUUGAGUAGAUCUCUAGUAAAACCUUACCUUAAUCUUU
This is an RNA transcript of Taeniopygia guttata (zebra finch), 3232 nucleotides long. It is a transcript of the gene named CREB/ATF bZIP transcription factor, with no coding region annotated. NCBI's taxonomy places the organism in Eukaryota, Metazoa, Chordata, Aves, Passeriformes, Estrildidae. The record is from RefSeq and is a predicted model, not a curated record.